AGAGUUUGAUCCUGGCUCAGAUUGAACGCUGGCGGCGUGCUUAACACAUGCAAGUCGAGCGGUAGCAGGCGUAGCAAUACGUGCUGACGAGCGGCGAACGGGUGAGUAAUGCUUCGGAAUCUUCCUAGUAGUGGGGAACAACCUGGGGAAACUCAGGCUAAUACCGCAUACGACCUACGGGUGAAAGCAGGGGAUCGCAAGACCUUGCGCUAUUGGAUGAGCCGAAGUCGGAUUAGCUAGUUGGUGAGGUAACGGCUCACCAAGGCGACGAUCCGUAGCUGGUCUGAGAGGACGACCAGCCACACUGGGACUGAGACACGGCCUAGACUCCUACGGGAGGCAGCAGUGGGGAAUAUUGGACAAUGGGGGAAACCCUGAUCCAGCGACGCCGCGUGUGUGAAGAAGGCCUGCGGGUUGUAAAGCACUUUUAGUGGGGAUAAAAAGCGCAAGGCUAAUAAACUUGCGUCUUGAUCUAACCCAAAGAAAAAGCACCGGCUAACUCUGUGCCAGCAGCCGCGGUAAUACAGAGGGUGCAAGCGUUAAUCGGAAUUACUGGGCGUAAAGCGUGCGUAGGCGGCCCGCCAAGUCAGAUGUGAAAGCCCCGGGCUCAACCUGGGAACGGCAUUUGAAACUGGCAGGCUCGAGUUGGGUAGAGGCAGGCGGAAUUCCGGGUGUAGCGGUGAAAUGCGUAGAUAUCCGGAGGAACACCAGUGGCGAAGGCGGCCUGCUGGGCCCAAACUGACGCUGAGGCACGAAAGCGUGGGUAGCAAACAGGAUUAGAUACCCUGGUAGUCCACGCCGUAAACGAUGUCGACUAGCCGCUGGGCCCUUUUGGGGCUUCGUGGCGCAGCUAACGCAUUAAGUCGACCGCCUGGGGAGUACGGCCGCAAGGUUAAAACUCAAAUGAAUUGACGGGGGCCCGCACAAGCGGUGGAGCAUGUGGUUUAAUUCGAUGCAACGCGAAGAACCUUACCUGCCCUUGACAUCCUGGGAACUUGCCGGAGACGGCUUGGUGCCUUCGGGAACCCAGAGACAGGUGCUGCAUGGCUGUCGUCAGCUCGUGUCGUGAGAUGUUGGGUUAAGUCCCGUAACGAGCGCAACCCUUGCCCCCAGUUGCCAGCGCGUCAUGGCGGGGACUCUGGGGGGACUGCCGGUGAUAAACCGGAGGAAGGUGGGGAUGACGUCAAGUCAGCAUGGCCUUUAUGUCCAGGGCUACACACGUGCUACAAUGGUCGGUACAAAGCGUCGCAAGCCCGCGAGGGUGAGCUAAUCGCAGAAAGCCGGUCUCAGUUCGGAUUGUAGGCUGCAACUCGCCUGCAUGAAGUUGGAAUCGCUAGUAAUCGCGGAUCAGCAUGCCGCGGUGAAUACGUUCCCGGGCCUUGUACACACCGCCCGUCACACCAUGGGAGUUGGUCUUACCCUAAAACGGUGCGCUAACCGCAAGGAGGCAGCCGGCCACGGUAAGGUCAGCGACUGGGGUGAAGUCGUAACAAGGUAACCGUA
RNAcentral lists this ribosomal RNA (1503 nucleotides) under uncultured bacterium. Its description in RNAcentral is "16S ribosomal RNA". It matches the Rfam family "Bacterial small subunit ribosomal RNA". The record is from RNAcentral.